Molecule: ribosomal RNA, 255 nt
Filed under: uncultured bacterium
Lineage: Bacteria
Description: partial 16S ribosomal RNA
Rfam family: Bacterial small subunit ribosomal RNA
Source: RNAcentral
UACGGAGGGUGCAAGCGUUAUCCGGAUUCACUGGGUUUAAAGGGAGCGUAGGUGGGCAGGUAAGUCAGCGGUGAAAUCUCCGAGCUUAACUCGGAAACUGCCAUUGAUACUAUCUGUCUUGAAUUAUCUGGAGGUGAGCGGAAUAUGUCAUGUAGCGGUGAAAUGCUUAGAUAUGACAUAGAACACCAAUUGCGAAGGCAGCUCACUACGGAUACAUUGACACUGAGGCACGGAAAGCGUGGGGAUCAAACCAGG